Prosopis cineraria is the source of this 312-nucleotide long non-coding RNA. RefSeq lists it as uncharacterized. The record is from RefSeq and is a predicted model, not a curated record. The transcript is spliced from 3 exons. Lineage: Eukaryota; Viridiplantae; Streptophyta; Magnoliopsida; Fabales; Fabaceae.
UUCGUGUUGUCUCUGUUUUUCCUUCUCCUUUCCCGUCACAUAAACUUCAUCUUGCCGUUGCUAUGUGUGUUUCCUCACUACCGAUUAAGCUUAUUCCUUUCCCUUGUUGUUCAUCUGUUUCUGUUUGGUGAAGCAUCUGAAUCUCUCCCUCUCUUCUGCUCCGUUGUGUGGCUGACAGAGGUGAUAUGAGCUGAUUCAUACUUGUUGCGACUGAGGUUUGUUAAGGAAGUUAAGAGCGUCAUUAGAACUACAGUGAAAAGUAAGAGAAGCAAAUUUUAGAAUUUUGGAAAAACUUCUAGGUGAGUGGGUAGC